CAGGAAGUAAAUAUUUACGCAUAAUGAGAAGUCGAAACAAAUACACCGCACAAUUCAGAAAAACAACAUAAUAUUUUUUACCAACUGCUGCGCAUGCCUCUAAAAUGUUUUUCCUCUGAUGAUCGGAAGUAUUUUCCUCAGACUAGCUUCUGGUUCUGUACAUUUCAAAUCUGUUUCUGCUGUUUCUCCUCUGUUGCCUAUUCACUUUCAGGACCAGGCAGCAUAAAACACAUUCAGGUCACAAGAUGACCUCUGGAUGUGACAGCUUGAUGUCACAAUGCCGAAGAAGUUGGACAGCGAGUAGGAAGAUUUCUACCAGUCAUUCUCUACACAGAGGUGGCCAGCAAUGAUUUAUCUAUACUCAGAGGUGACUCAGAACCGCAUAAAUAUGUCCCACUGAACCCAAAGCAAAUUGAUCCCGAACUCAACUUCCCCAUAGCCAGAUCCCAGAAAUACCCAUGGCGCCUCCAACCACCUCACAUAAACGGAAACUGGGACACAAGGGAAGUUGGAGUAGAAAGAACUAGCAAUCUUAACUGAUUGUGGAUAAAACAUCUUACCUUCGCAAAUUUCCCAAGAACAUGAAGAGAUGAACACACUGCAGAGGCCCCUCCCUGGGCCUGAGGAGAGGCCCUGAUGCUCAGGAAGCUUUAGCUUCAUGCUGAGUCUGCCUCUGCGUUGAGCUGAGAUUUGAAGAGAAGAUCAGAUUCUUGUGCUUAAAACCUCCCAGGCUGGUCAGGGCCAGGAGACUCCAGGAGUCAUCACAAGAGAUUAAUGAGGUUGAGAGCCAGGGGCAGAGCAGACUGGCUGGGAAGACAAGAUUUGGACAUGAAAAGAUGAGAGAUCUACACUGUGACCUGAAUUGGGCAAUGCUCAGUUACACAGUAGAGGAGGCCCAGGCUCCUGAUUAUAAUGCUAUACUGCUUGGCGGUAAAAGGAAGUCUCUGGACAAGAUGACCUCUGAAGGCCUUUCCAGCUCAACUAUUCUUUGAUUUGCUGUCCCAUUUCUAGCUAUAUGAUGAAUAAACCAGCUUAUCCUCGAGAAGAAAGAAAUAAGGACUGUCUUUAGCCGUCUGAAAAGCUGUCAUAUUGGGCCCCUCCCAGCUCCUCCCAGCCAUUCGGAGCAGUAAGUGAAGAUGUCAGCACCUUGGACAGAGCCCAACGCAUUACAGUACUCGAAGCCAGCGGAAGCCAAGCUCUCCAACUCCUUUAGCCUCGGGGUGAUGGAUUUCCUCGUUUCUCAAUUUGAUUAAAGCCCAGUAGAUAACCAG
Molecule: long non-coding RNA, 1271 nt
Filed under: Equus asinus (donkey)
Lineage: Eukaryota; Metazoa; Chordata; Mammalia; Perissodactyla; Equidae
Description: lncRNA (ENSEASG00005036667.1)
Source: RNAcentral